RNAcentral lists this ribosomal RNA (903 nucleotides) under uncultured Poribacteria bacterium. RNAcentral describes it as "SSU rRNA". It matches the Rfam family "Bacterial small subunit ribosomal RNA", at positions 22 to 909 of the family's 1533-position model. The record is from RNAcentral. Lineage: Bacteria; Candidatus Poribacteria.
GNUCAGGACGAACGCUGGCGGCGUGGAUUAGGCAUGCAAGUCGAACGAGAAUCGUAACUUCGGUUAUGAGGAGAGUGGCGAAAGGGUGARURRCKCGUARGUAWUUUGCCCUUGAGACCGGAAUAACAUCCCGAAAGGGUUGCUAAUACCGGAUAAUAUCCAUUAACCUUAGGGUUUUUGGAUCAAAUGAAGGCUCUGCUUUCGCUCAAGGAGAAACCUGCGUCCUAUUAGCUUGUUGGUAGGGUAAUGGCCUACCAAGGCGAUGAUGGGUAGCUGGUCUGAGAGGAUGGUCAGCCACAUUGGGACUGAGACACUGCCCAAACUWMUACGGAAGGCUGCAGUCGAGAAUAUUUCGCAAUGGGGGAAACCCUGACGAUGCGACGCCGCGUGGGGGAUGAAGGUCUUCGGAUUGUAAACUCCUGUUCUACAAGAAGAACGAGCAGUUAGUGAUAAGCUAACUGCAGUGACUGUAUUGUAGCAGCAAGCCCCAGCUAACUACGUGCCAGCAGCUGCGGUAAUACGUAGGGGGCAAGCGUUGUCCGGAAUUACUGGGCGUAAAGCGCACGCAGGCGGCCAUAUAAGUCGGAUAUGAAAUUGCUUGGCUUAACCAAGCAACUGUAUUCGAUACUGCAUGGCUUGAGUGCGAGAGGGGAAAGUGGAAUGUACAGUGUAGCGGUGAAAUGCGUAGAGAUUGUACAGAACACCGGUAGCGAAGGCAGCUUUCUGGCUCGAUACUGACGCUGAGGUGCGAAAGUCUGGGUAGCGAACGGGAYKMKAUACCCCGKYAGUCCAGACCGUAAACGAUGGGUACUAAGUGUAGGAGAUACGACUCUUCUGUGCUGUANCUAACGCAUUAAGUACCCCGCCUGGGGAGUACGGCCGCAAGGUUAAAACUCAAAUGAA